RNAcentral lists this long non-coding RNA (262 nucleotides) under Carica papaya (papaya). RNAcentral describes it as "long non-coding RNA (CPAP_LNC002212)". Lineage: Eukaryota; Viridiplantae; Streptophyta; Magnoliopsida; Brassicales; Caricaceae. The record is from RNAcentral.
ACUGUAACAUUAGGAUGAUAAGAGGUGAAGAAGAAAAUGUGGUAAUAUAAUGGAGGUAGUGAUUUGAUCAUAAUAGAGAAAAAUGUAGUAAUAAGAUUACAAUGGUAGUAGUACCUGUAAUACAACGAUAAUGAUAAUUUUGUCAUUAGUUGUAACGAAGUAGAACUAUGGUGAAAAUUUGUGAUAGUGGUGACGAUAUAUAUAAUCAUGGUAUUGAUAACGAUGAAAAUAGUAAUUAUGAUGAUAAUAAUGGUUAAGAUAG